ACCCCGGGGAUAACAGGCUCAUCUCCCCCAAGAGUCCACAUCGACGGGGAGGUUUGGCACCUCGAUGUCGGCUCAUCGCAUCCUGGGGCUGUAGUCGGUCCCAAGGGUUGGGCUGUUCGCCCAUUAAAGCGGUACGCGAGCUGGGUUCAGAACGUCGUGAGACAGUUCGGUCCCUAUCCGUCGUGGGCGCAGGAAAUUUGAGAGGAUCUGUCCUUAGUACGAGAGGACCGGGAUGGACAUACCUCUGGUGUACCAGUUGUUCUGCCAAGAGCACCGCUGGGUAGCUACGUAUGGAUUAGAUAAUCGCUGAAAGCAUCUAAGUGAGAAACUAACCUCGAGAUGAGAUUUCCCAUUCGUCAGAAGUAAGACCCCUGAGAGACGAUCAGGUAGAUAGGCUAGAAGUGGAAGUGUAGUGAUGCAUGGAGCGGACUAGUACUAAUAGGUCGAGGACUUAACCAAG
This 460-nucleotide ribosomal RNA is filed under the name Oenococcus oeni. RNAcentral describes it as "bacterial LSU rRNA". It matches the Rfam family "Bacterial large subunit ribosomal RNA", at positions 2465 to 2925 of the family's 2925-position model. The record is from RNAcentral. Lineage: Bacteria; Bacillati; Bacillota; Bacilli; Lactobacillales; Lactobacillaceae.